GCCAGCGAGGUAUAGUGGUUUGAGUGUUGGACUUUGGCUCUGAAAAACCAGGGUUCGAUUCCCUGCUUGGCC
Phrynosoma platyrhinos (Desert horned lizard) is the source of this 72-nucleotide non-coding RNA. The record is from the annotation of a GenBank genome assembly. Lineage: Eukaryota; Metazoa; Chordata; Lepidosauria; Squamata; Phrynosomatidae.